ACGGCUUAAGGGCAGAAGAGUAAAAGCGUAAACCGACCUUGGAGCUAGUAUAUAAGGAGUCCUAGGCGAGAAGCAAGAGAGGAGAACUUUUUCCAGAGCAAACUUAGCACUUAGAGCAAUUUAGGCAAUUUUCCAUUUUUGUUAUUUCGAGCUGCGACUCAAUUAGGUUUAGCCGUCUUAGGGUUGCUAGAACUAGGAAUCUCGCCGACAGCUCUCGAGCCCAGGCUGAUACCUUGUUGUAACGCUCAUACGCAGAUUCGGAAUAAAAAUCUACUUUGCUCUCUUUUCGAUUUCUUAUUUUUAUCGUUGUUAUUCUCGUGUUCUGAUUGCUUGACGUGUGGUAAUUAACAGAUAUCCGGGUCCUCUGGGAAAUUAGGGUUUUCCUAGUUUCCUUAUUUAAACGGAAGUCGACAGUGCGAAUUUCGGUUCCCACAGAUCUUAUUUAUUUUUUUUUUAAUAUUAUUUUUUAUUUUUAUUAUUAUUAUUAUAUAUAUAUAUAUUUUUUUUUAGCAGAACUAAUCUAGGGUCGAAAUCUAGAGAGAGAAAAUGUGAUAAAUAAUCUAAACCAGACGUUACCUUCCAGACCUAUCUGAAGAAUCCGAUCCCAUGUAUACAAAACCCCAAGACAAGCGGUUAUGUCAGGUUUAGUGUUGGAAAUCAGCUUUGGUUACUUCAUACGGUUCUAGGCAAGUGUUUAGUUGAUAGGUUGAUCUGCAUUAGCAUCUUUAGUGCUAUCAGUAAAUCUAAAAUGGUGCUACAGAUUGGUUAGAUAUUCAUGUUUAAACCAAUAUAAGAUUAUAGUCCCUAUUUUCAAUAGCUAAGCAUAAUUUAUUUGAAAUUCCUUUUUACGUAAGAAUAAAAUAAGUUAUAUCAGUAAAUCUCCCCCCAGACUUAAAUUACACUGUCCCAGUGUAACUCAGCCGGAGUUAUGAUGAAAAGUGUAUGAUGUACGAAAUGUAACAAGUAGGUAAGAUACAUCUGACCGGAUUAAAUAUCGAUCGAUGGGUAAGUGUUACAUCGAUCGUCGUGUGGUUGCCUAUGUCGAACGAUGUCGACGUCUCGUCGUCGGUCGAUAUUCAAGUCCUCCUACUUG
RNAcentral lists this long non-coding RNA (1093 nucleotides) under Brassica rapa (field mustard). RNAcentral's name for it is "long non-coding RNA (BRAP_LNC006888)". Lineage: Eukaryota; Viridiplantae; Streptophyta; Magnoliopsida; Brassicales; Brassicaceae. The record is from RNAcentral.